CCAGACUCCUACGGGAGGCAGCAGUAGGGAAUUUUCGUCAAUGGGCGCAAGCCUGAACGAGCAAUGCCGCGUGAACGAGGAAGGUCUUCGGAUCGUAAAGUUCUGUUGACGGGGAAAAAAGACCGGGAAAGGAAAUGAUCCCGGAGGAGAUAUUACCCGUCGAGGAAGUCACGGCUAACUACGUGCCAGCAGCCGCGGUAAUACGUAGGUGGCGAGCGUUAUCCGGAUUUAUUGGGUUUAAAGGGUGCGCAGGCGGCGCGGCAAGCCGGCGGUCAAAUCGCGGGGCUCAACCCCGCCCAGCCGUCGGAACUGCCGGGCUAGAGUGGGCGAGAAGUGCGCGGAAUGCGUGGUGUAGCGGUGAAAUGCAUAGAUAUCACGCAGAACUCCGAUUGCGAAGGCAGCGCACCGGCGCCCUACUGACGCUCAGGCACGAAAGCGUGGGUAUCGAACAGGAUUAGAUACCCUCGUA
RNAcentral lists this ribosomal RNA (469 nucleotides) under uncultured bacterium. RNAcentral's name for it is "partial 16S ribosomal RNA". It matches the Rfam family "Bacterial small subunit ribosomal RNA", at positions 331 to 792 of the family's 1533-position model. The record is from RNAcentral.